This 131-nucleotide small RNA is filed under the name Salmonella enterica subsp. enterica serovar Kentucky. RNAcentral's name for it is "partial RtT sRNA". It matches the Rfam family "RtT RNA", at positions 34 to 130 of the family's 130-position model. Rfam says of the family: This family represents a bacterial cis-regulatory element known as RtT RNA. The exact function of RtT is unknown although it is thought that it may be involved in changing the cellular response in relation to amino acid starvation. Lineage: Bacteria; Pseudomonadati; Pseudomonadota; Gammaproteobacteria; Enterobacterales; Enterobacteriaceae. The record is from RNAcentral.
GGUCGCAGGUUCGAAUCCUGCACGACCCACCAAUCGUUCGGUGGAAACGAGAAUAAAACGUGAAGGAUAACGUUGCGUCAGCAACGGCCCGUAGGGCGAGGCAAAGCCUAGUCAUCCUGCACAACCCACCA